GCAGCAGUGAGGAAUAUUGGUCAAUGGCCGAGAGGCUGAACCAGCCAAGUCGCGUGAAGGAAGAAGGAUCUAUGGUUUGUAAACUUCUUUUAUAGGGGAAUAAAGUGGAGGACGUGUCCUUUUUUGUAUGUACCCUAUGAAUAAGCAUCGGCUAACUCCGUGCCAGCAGCCGCGGUAAUACGGAGGAUGCGAGCGUUAUCCGGAUUUAUUGGGUUUAAAGGGUGCGUAGGUGGUGAUUUAAGUCAGCGGUGAAAGUUUGUGGCUCAACCAUAAAAUUGCCGUUGAAACUGGGUUACUUGAGUGUGUUUGAGGUAGGCGGAAUGCGUGGUGUAGCGGUGAAAUGCAUAGAUAUCACGCAGAACUCCGAUUGCGAAGGCAGCUUACUAAACCAUAACUGACACUGAAGCACGAAAGCGUGGGGAUCAAACAGGAUUAGAUACCCUGGUAGUCCACGCAGUAAACGAUGAUUACUAGGAGUUUGCGAUACAAUGUAAGCUGCUACAGCGAAAGCGUUAAGUAAUCCACCUGGGGAGUACGCCGGCAACGGUGAAACUCAAAGGAAUUGACGGGGGCCCGCACAAGCGGAGGAACAUGUGGUUUAAUUCGAUGAUACGCGAGGAACCUUACCCGGGUUUGAACGUAGUCUGACCGGAGUGGAAACACUCCUUCUAGCAAUAGCAGAUUACGAGGUGCUGCAUGGUUGUCGUCAGCUCGUGCCGUGAGGUGUCGGCUUAAGUGCCAUAACGAGCGCAACCCUUAUCACUAGUUACUAACAGGUGAAGCUGAGGACUCUGGUGAGACUGCCAGCGUAAGCUGUGAGGAAGGUGGGGAUGACGUCAAAUCAGCACGGCCCUUACAUCCGGGGCGACACACGUGUUACAAUGGCAUGGACAAAGGGCAGCUACCUGGCGACAGGAUGCUAAUCUCCAAACCAUGUCUCAGUUCGGAUCGGAGUCUGCAACUCGACUCCGUGAAGCUGGAUUCGCUAGUAAUCGCGCAUCAGCCAUGGCGCGGUGAAUACGUUCCCGGGCCUUGUACACACCGCCCGUCAAGCCAUGGGAGUCGGGGGUGCCUGAAGUACGUUACCGCGAGGAGCGUCCUAGGGCAAAACUGGUAAUUGGGGCUAAGUCGUAACAAGGUAGCCGUACCGGAAGGUGCGGCUG
This 1163-nucleotide ribosomal RNA is filed under the name human gut metagenome. RNAcentral's name for it is "bacterial SSU rRNA". It matches the Rfam family "Bacterial small subunit ribosomal RNA", at positions 348 to 1520 of the family's 1533-position model. The record is from RNAcentral.